This 375-nucleotide ribosomal RNA is filed under the name uncultured bacterium. RNAcentral's name for it is "bacterial SSU rRNA". It matches the Rfam family "Bacterial small subunit ribosomal RNA", at positions 31 to 415 of the family's 1533-position model. The record is from RNAcentral.
GAACGCUAGCGGCAGGCCUAAUACAUGCAAGUCGAACGGUGAUAGUGAUAUCAUAGUGGCGCACGGGUGCGUAACACGUAUGGAACCUACCUUAUAGUUGGGGAUAGCCUUUGGAAACGGAGAUUAAUACUCGAUGGUAUGUUUGAGGGGCAUCCUUUAGACAUUAAAGAUUUAUUGCUAUAAGAUGGUCAUGCGUCCAAUUAGUUAGUUGGCGGGGUAACGGCUCACCAAGACGAUGAUUGGUAGGGGAACUGAGAGGUUAAUCCCCCACACUGGCACUGAGAUACGGGCCAGACUCCUACGGGAGGCAGCAGUAGGGAAUAUUGGGCAAUGGAGGCAACUCUGACCCAGCCAUGCCGCGUGCAGGAUGAAGGC